Molecule: long non-coding RNA, 253 nt
Filed under: Mytilus galloprovincialis (Mediterranean mussel)
Lineage: Eukaryota; Metazoa; Mollusca; Bivalvia; Mytilida; Mytilidae
Source: RNAcentral
CUUUUUUAAUUUUAUUUUCCUUAUUCCUAAUAUUUUUUUAUCAAACUGUGUUCUGUCAUGUGAUUCGAGAUGGCGACCGUUAUACCGGCAAAAUGUUGAUAUUAGUCUAAACUAAACUGGAGGUUUUUAAUAUUCAUAUUUAUGCAUUACUUUAGUUUAAAUGAUAAUAAUAAGAGAACAGACGUUUUUAUAACUUAUUUGCUGAUAUACCAAAACAUUAUAGCAUAGUUAACGAUAUUUUCGCAAUCACGAC